AUUGAACGCUGGCGGCAUGCCUUACACAUGCAAGUCGAACGGCAGCACGGGAGCUUGCUCCUGGUGGCGAGUGGCGAACGGGUGAGUAAUGCAUCGGAACGUGCCCUGAAGUGGGGGAUAACGUAGCGAAAGUUACGCUAAUACCGCAUAUUCUGUGAGCAGGAAAGCAGGGGAUCUUCGGACCUUGCGCUUUUGGAGCGGCCGAUGUCGGAUUAGCUAGUUGGUGGGGUAAAGGCUCACCAAGGCAACGAUCCGUAGCGGGUCUGAGAGGAUGAUCCGCCACACUGGAACUGAGACACGGUCCAGACUCCUACGGGAGGCAGCAGUGGGGAAUUUUGGACAAUGGGCGCAAGCCUGAUCCAGCCAUGCCGCGUGAGUGAAGAAGGCCU
Molecule: ribosomal RNA, 389 nt
Filed under: uncultured bacterium
Lineage: Bacteria
Description: bacterial SSU rRNA
Rfam family: Bacterial small subunit ribosomal RNA
Source: RNAcentral